Molecule: long non-coding RNA, 1939 nt
Organism: Anopheles funestus (African malaria mosquito)
Lineage: Eukaryota; Metazoa; Arthropoda; Insecta; Diptera; Culicidae
Exons: 3
Source: RefSeq, a predicted model, not a curated record
UAUUGCAAUUUCCACUUUUUUGCCCACGUCGUAAAAAUUGUCAUAAAAAAAUUAUUUCAAAUAAACACGGAAACUGCCGUGUACAGUGGCCUUAAACGUUUCAAGCGUUCAUUAGCUGUCAAGGGAAGGAGUAGGACAUCUCUUUCUUUUCACCAAACGUUUAUCCACAUGUUAAUAUUUUGUUAGAAGCAUUUGUGUCAUGGCGGUUUGUGGGUUAGUUAGAAAUGGUGCAGUUCUGGUAAUUCUUCAGUUUUUCAUUAAAAAUGUCAGUAAAAGUGCAGUGAAGGUCAUUUUAGUGAAGUUAACGUGGUUAUCAGUGUUAAUGAAAGUUGAAAUUCGCCUAAAUAGUGCGGGAUAGGAGUGUAAAGUGUAAGUUAACAGUGUCAAGGCUGGACAACGGUUUCGUUUAGUGAAGUGUGAUAGUGGUGUGUGGUGUUCGCUAAAUGGCAAUCACCGGGUGACCGAAUAUAGUUAAAAGUAUGUUCUUCCUUGUAUAGCCUUGCAAGCGGUGGCACAGCAGAUAAAUGAUAAAAUGAUAUCAUGACAGAAAAUGUAUUUAAUCGCAUUGCUGCGUUUAAUGCGAUGUUCACCAACCUGCAGAAUUUGGUUCCCAGUUCCAUGCUAACAACAGUGAGUAAUGUUAUAAAAUAAGUGAACCUGUUGCGAAAACACUGAGGUAAGUUGAAAAACGAAUUUAAUGUAUUUGUAUUGAUUAUGUUUUGGGUAUGAUUGGCGCUAUUACCGUUUUUAUGCGUAGCCUUGCGGGUUGACCUACUUUCUCAUGCUUAAAUGCUUCAGACAGAACGUGGACAAUUCAACAAUUUGUCAUGCAACAUGCAACAAUCCUUUCGGUUUCAUGCAUGUUCGCGCAAUUAUGCAGCUCAUGGAACCUAACGCCUCGUGACGGUUCGCACUGGCGUAGAGUGUUCGUUUGUACUUUCGAUAUCGAUAUUUCCUGCGUUUUGCCUGGUAGCAUACAACAGUGUGGCGCUGUACUUGUUUUUUUCGGUAUUACGAUCGGUGUCGUAGUAUGUUUUGGUCUGGUCCCGUUUUUUAAAUGCUCACUUCCUGGCUUUUUAAUUUAUUUUGGUAAUGGUACAUUUAUAUCAACAUACCCGUAGUAUUUAGUAUUUAUUUAGAUUUGAAGUCUGCCAUUAACCCGCUAAACAAGACGCCACGUACAUAAUAUACCCUACUGAAGAUAGCGUAAUCUCUCCCUAAAUCUUGCUAAGUUUUCGUUGGAAUUGAAGUGUACGAAUAACAUAUUAAAUACUACGGACAUAGAUGAGAUCGGGUCAUUUGCUCCAUAUUGCGUAUUUCUGAAUUUAAGGUAUAUAAAUUGCCUGUGUCUCGAUAAAAGCCUGUUUACAUUUAAAUGUAUACACUCUAAUAUUUCUGGGGUAUCUAUUGUUCCACGAAGUAUCCUUGCCACAAAUAACAAUUUCAGUUUUGUGUUCUAAUUUUUGUCCUUUAAUGAAAUAGUCUGUUUUAACAAUAGCACGUGCACGUGUAAAUGACAUGAUACAACAUUUUUCGACGCAUAGACAUAACAGAUUUUGAUACAGACUACAGACUUAAACGAUCAAGAGCUGUUUGAAGGAGGGCUGGACUUCUAUCGUUGCGGUCAAGAGAUGCAUAUAUUUUAAGGUCGUCUGCAUACAAUAAGAAAGACACACAGAGCGUUACGGUACGAAACCGUGCAGUGCUAAAGUACUGGUGUGACGCUCGCAUUAUAAUAUCGUGCAGUAUUAUUGCCAUGGUAGUUUCCUUAACCUACGAUACUACUACAGGUCUCGUCGUCUGCUUUCUAUCUUGGACGUUCCUGGUGUUCUGUUGCAAUACGCUGUACAGCAGCAGCUGUAUGGUUGAUUAUGUAGUAUCUACUACAAUAUAAUCACGCUAGGCGAAUUAAUCCAGUAGUUCAUACCGUCGCGUCAAA